RNAcentral lists this long non-coding RNA (828 nucleotides) under Apteryx rowi (Okarito brown kiwi). RNAcentral's name for it is "lncRNA (ENSARWG00000008272.1)". The record is from RNAcentral. Lineage: Eukaryota; Metazoa; Chordata; Aves; Apterygiformes; Apterygidae.
CCGCGGCGGCCUCCCGGAGCCCGGCGCGGUGCCGCCGGGGCCGGGGGAGUGACUUGCGCUCCCUCCGCCUCCCGCGCCUUCAGCCCUCCUCCGGGUAGACGGAGAGGAGGAGGAGGAGGAGGAGGGCGAGUGGUGGGAGGGUCUCCAUUGAAAUAAACAAGCAGGCAGUUAUUAAAACGGGAACAUGGCGGCCGCAGCCCCAGCGUCGGCUUCAUCUCACAAAGCGAAGCACACUUGAGAUGUAUCUGAGCACUGAAGCCCAGCACGCACACAACCUGUAGGACUCUGCCCGCCUCACUGAGGCUUGGUGGACCGUUCCAAGUGGCAUGAUUCAGAGGAUUUGUUUGUCAGCAACGGAUCAAAUGGUUGUCCACUAAAUACCCUAGCAAGUAUGAAUGCGGCAUGGACCUAUGGGCUUUGUGUCUACUUGAAGAGCUACUGCACCAGCUCUCAGCAUUCAGUAUUUUCAAGACCACCAUGCACUUCUAACACAGACUUACAAGGAAAGUAUUCUAAGUAGGACCAUGUGCUGACCAUGGCCUUUUGGACCACCAUUUGGAAACUGCUGCUUUUUAAUAUUUAUUUAUUAGUCUAUAGCAGAACUCUUUUGGCCACAGCAUGAGCAUGCAUUUUAACAGUGUUAGUACUAUAAAAAUCUUAACACUGACUGUCUUGAUUUUUUUCUUAGAUAAAUCUUUCACUAUUAUUGUUCUACUUUUUUCAUAGUUGAUUUGCUGUAUUGGAAAAUGUAAGUUAUCACACUUGAAUAACUGUACAUGUGGAAUCAUUUAAAAAAUAAAAAAUACAUUUCCACAUAUGGACUUUUCA